This 1994-nucleotide ribosomal RNA is filed under the name Hemipenaeus carpenteri. RNAcentral's name for it is "eukaryotic LSU rRNA". It matches the Rfam family "Eukaryotic large subunit ribosomal RNA", at positions 83 to 1507 of the family's 3401-position model. Lineage: Eukaryota; Metazoa; Arthropoda; Malacostraca; Decapoda; Aristeidae. The record is from RNAcentral.
AUAAGGGCGACUGAAACGGGAGUAGCCCAGCGCAAAGCCUCGUGUUUCCUUAACCGGUGCACGAGGGGUGCUGCGUUUGGGAGAGGUCUUGCACGCUGUCCCGCACCGCCUAAGUUGUACAUGAAUGACUCUAAUGCCCAAGGAGGGUGUCAGGCCCGUGUGGCGGUAAAAGAACCCCGAAGGGGGGAAGGUACGGGACUGCGGAAAGGGCCUCUCCUUAGAGUCGGGUUGCCUGAAACCGCAACCUAAAGUAGGUGGUAAACUCCAUCUAAGGCUAAAUAUGACCACGAGACCGAUAGCGAACAAGUACCGUGAGGGAAAGUUGAAAUAGAACCCUGCAGAGAGAGUUCAAGAGAACGUGAAACCGUUAAGAGGCUAAACGGGUGGAGAUUCGAAGAUCGAACUGGGGGGAUUCAGUUCGCCCGGCAGUCAGGAGGGGGUUUUCGGGAGCACAACAGCGACCCCCCUAGCGGCUGCGACUCGUCGCAGUCUGCUAAAGGGGGCGCGGCCCGUCCCCUGCCUGCUCAUGUCGCCGGCGGAAGCGAUUUUCCCCCCGCAGUAGGUCGCCGCGAACCGUCGGGAGGGCGUCUGAGGCCCGGGCUUUGGCAGGAACCUACGUCGUCGCUGUCUGUCGCCAAAAGGCUGCUUGCUGUAAUGGUAGGCGUAUAGUCUUGACAGAGAGAAGCGGCGUCUGGGGAUCCCCCGGUGACCACUGGUGAUAUCAUUAUGAUUCAUCAGCCUUGUCUUGCUCUCCCGACGGUCCGUCCUUGGGGCAGUGUCGUCGCUACGGCGGCGGCUCUCGCCUUCGCGGUGUGCAAAGAGUCGAGGCUCUACCCGACCCGUCUUGAAACACGGACCAAGGAGUCCAACAUGUAUGCGAGUCAAUGGGCUCACUAAACCCACAGGCGGAAUGAAAGUGAAAAGUUGGUGUGGUAUUGGCUGCUCUCGUAGUAGCUACAUACAUACUUGCAUACAGGACCGAUCCCUCGGUUUUCCGGAAGACUUCAGCCUCUCCCUGGACGGAGUGACCAAAAUAUGCUUUCCUCCCUGGGGACUAACUCUAAAAGUCACUUGUGGCUUGUGAGGGCUGGGGUAAUACCCUUCCGGUGCCGCAAGCCUCUCCUCCGGUCCAACGGAGGAAGGGGGGCGCAGGUCCGGGACUCGCAAACAACGACGAACAGACUGUGGCGGCUUGCCGCUCCGAGCUGGAUGUGUCGGCGAGUACCUAGAGCAUAAAUGUUGGUACCCGAAAGAUAGUGAACUAUGCCUGGCCAGGAUGAAGCCAGGGGAAACCCUGGUGGAGGUCCGUAGCGAUUCUGACGUGCAAAUCGAUUGUCAGAGCUGGGUAUAGGGGCGAAAGACCAAUCGAACUAUCUAGUAGCUGGUUCCCUCCGAAGUUUCCCUCAGGAUAGCUGGUACUCGACAAUAACGAGUUUCAUCCGGUAAAGCGAAUGAUUAGGGGUGUUGGGGACGAAAUGUCCUCAGCCUAUUCUCAAACUUUAAAUGGGUGAGGUGCCGGGCUUGCUUUAUUUCGUCUAAUGAUGAUGAUGAUGAAGCCCCGGACACGAAUCGGAGUGCUUAGUGGGCCAAUUUUGGUAAGCAGAACUGGCGCUGUGGGAUGAACCAAACGUCGAGUUAAGGGGCCUAAAUGGAUGCUAAUUCCGAUACCAUGGAAGGGAGUUGCUUGCUAUAGACAGCAGGACGGUGGCCAUGGAAGUUGGAAUCCGCUAAGGAGUGUGUAACAACUCACCUGCCGAAGCAAGUAACCCUGAAAAUGGCAUGGCGCUCAAGCAUCCUCCCGAUACUCGACCGCCGGGCGCACUAUUGGCUGGAAUAACAAGGAAGUCUCGAGGCCCCGGCGAGUAGGAGGAGCGCGGUGGUGAGCGUUGAAGGAUUCGGCGUGAGCCGGUCUGGAGCCUCCACUGGUGCGGAUCUUGGUGGNAGUAGCACAUAUUCGAGCGAGAACACCCUCGUUGACCGAUGCGGAGAAGGGU